CCCUUAUCCUUUGUUGCCAGCGGUCCGGCCGGGAACUCAAAGGAGACUGCCAGUGAUAAACUGGAGGAAGGUGGGGAUGACGUCAAGUCAUCAUGGCCCUUACGACCAGGGCUACACACGUGCUACAAUGGCAUAUACAAAGAGAAGCGACCUCGCGAGAGCAAGCGGACCUCAUAAAGUAUGUCGUAGUCCGGAUUGGAGUCUGCAACUCGACUCCAUGAAGUCGGAAUCGCUAGUAAUCGUAGAUCAGAAUGCUACGGUGAAUACGUUCCCGGGCCUUGUACACACCGCCCGUCACACCAUGGGAGUGGGUUGCAAAAGAAGUAGGUAGCUUAACCUUCGGGAGGGCGCUUACCACUUUGUGAUUCAUGACUGGGGUGAAGUCGUAACAAGGUAACCGUAGGGGAACCUGCGGUUGGAUCACCUCCUUACCUUAAAGAA
Molecule: ribosomal RNA, 441 nt
Filed under: Klebsiella pneumoniae
Lineage: Bacteria; Pseudomonadati; Pseudomonadota; Gammaproteobacteria; Enterobacterales; Enterobacteriaceae
Description: bacterial SSU rRNA
Rfam family: Bacterial small subunit ribosomal RNA
Source: RNAcentral